GACAGAGGGUGCAAACGUUGUUCGGAAUUACUGGGCGUAAAGCGUGUGUAGGCGGUCUCAUAAGUCGGGUGUGAAAGCCCCGGGCUCAACCCGGGAAGUGCACUCGAAACUGCGAGGCUAGAGUACUGGAGAGGUUGGUGGAAUUCUCGGUGUAGAGGUGAAAUUCGUAGAUAUCGAGAGGAACACCGGUGGCGAAGGCGGCCAACUGGACAGAUACUGACGCUGAGACACGAAAGCGUGGGGGAGCAAACAGG
RNAcentral lists this ribosomal RNA (254 nucleotides) under uncultured bacterium. Its description in RNAcentral is "partial 16S ribosomal RNA". It matches the Rfam family "Bacterial small subunit ribosomal RNA", at positions 524 to 776 of the family's 1533-position model. The record is from RNAcentral.